AUUGAACGCUGGCGGCAGGCCUAACACAUGCAAGUCGAGCGGUAACAGGUCUAGCUUGCUAGAUGCUGACGAGCGGCGGACGGGUGAGUAAUGCAUAGGAAUCUGCCCGGUAGUGGGGGAUAACUUGGGGAAACUCAAGCUAAUACCGCAUACGCCCUACGGGGGAAAGCAGGGGAUCUUCGGACCUUGCGCUAUCGGAUGAGCCUAUGUCGGAUUAGCUAGUUGGUGAGGUAAUGGCUCACCAAGGCAACGAUCCGUAGCUGGUCUGAGAGGAUGAUCAGCCACACUGGGACUGAGACACGGCCCAG
This 308-nucleotide ribosomal RNA is filed under the name uncultured bacterium. RNAcentral describes it as "bacterial SSU rRNA". It matches the Rfam family "Bacterial small subunit ribosomal RNA", at positions 30 to 334 of the family's 1533-position model. The record is from RNAcentral.